UGGGGAAUAUUGCACAAUGGGCGCAAGCCUGAUGCAGCCAUGCCGCGUGUGUGAAGAAGGCCUUCGGGUUGUAAAGCACUUUCAGCGAGGAGGAAGGGUGGUGUGUUAAUAGCACAUUGCAUUGACGUUACUCGCAGAAGAAGCACCGGCUAACUCCGUGCCAGCAGCCGCGGUAAUACGGAGGGUGCAAGCGUUAAUCGGAAUUACUGGGCGUAAAGCGCACGCAGUCGGUUUGUUAAGUCAGAUGUGAAAUCCCCGCGCUUAACGUGGGAACUGCAUUUGAAACUGGCAAGCUAGAGUCUUGUAGAGGGGGGUAGAAUUCCAGGUGUAGCGGUGAAAUGCGUAGAGAUCUGGAGGAAUACCGGUGGCGAAGGCGG
RNAcentral lists this ribosomal RNA (377 nucleotides) under uncultured bacterium. RNAcentral describes it as "partial 16S ribosomal RNA". It matches the Rfam family "Bacterial small subunit ribosomal RNA", at positions 355 to 724 of the family's 1533-position model. The record is from RNAcentral.